GUGCUCACCACUAAGGGGUUGGGAGUGUGCACGUAAAGAAAGAAUAAGUUGGCAGUGAGAAAUAUAGGGGAGAAAAGGGCAGUGGCAGAGUUGGGUGAGGCAUAUCAUUGGCACUUGGGGCUGCCUAAAGCCUGGUAUAGGGAUCCUUGAAUAUAUUUGUGGGUGGUCCUCUUGCCAGAAUCCUGGGGUAGACAGCAGAAAAUACAUCCUUUCAGUUCUCUGCUUUCUUAUUUUAAUAUUAUUAGUAGUUGAUUUACAAUGUUGUAUUUCAGCAGUGAUUCAGUUAUACCUAAAAUAUACGCUCAUUCUUUUUCAGAUUUUUCACAUUGGUUAUCACAGAAUAUUGAGUAGAAUCCCCUGUGCCAUACAUGUCUUUGCUUACCUCUCCAAUAUUGGGGUAGCAGUUUGCCCUCUAUUCUCCAGUCUCUCAUGAAUCCAAGAAGAGUUACUGAUUUUUCAAUCUGUUCAACUUUUGCUGUCAGGAUGGAGUGGCGACUUUCUUUAAAUGUAGAACCAGAAACAAAGUCUUGGAUGCGCACAUGGAACUUUCGCCAAGAUAUAUCCCAUGCUAGCUUUUACUACAGUCCCAAGGUUUGAAAUCAUAGAGUAUGUUCUUUGACUAUAACAGAAUUAUAAAUUAAAAAUAAUAUAUACCCCAAGUACUUGGAAAUUAAAAAUUUCUUAUAAAUUUAAUCACUAAAAGACAUAGAAAGCUUAGAUUACAUAAGUCACUUAUAAAGCUAGCAUACAGGUUAAAGACUAAAGUAGUAAAAAAAAAAAAAAGUGAUAUACAAUAUAAAAAGUUAAAUGUGAUAUCAAAAACUGAAAUGUAACUGGGGGAAAGUAAAAAUGUAAUUUUAGAAUGUGUUCAAACUUAAGUUGUUAGCAAUGACAAAGACUUGUUAUACGUAAACUUCAUGGUAACCACACAGGAAAACAUAUAAUAGAUAUACAAAGGAUAAAUAAAUCUAAGCACACCACAAAAGAAAACCAUCAAAUCACACAGGAAGAGAAAGGAACAGAAGAACUGCAAUACAGCCUGAAAACAAUGCACAAAUGGCCAAUGAGUAUAUACCUACCAGUAUGCAGAGCAGCUGAAUGGAUAAAAACCAAUCCAAGACCAAGCUAUAUGCUGCCUACAAGUAAUGCACUUAAGAUAAUCAGACACACACUGACUGGAAGUGAAAGUGAAAGGACUGAAAAGAUUCCUUGUAAAUAGAAAUCAAAUGAAAGUUGUUUUGGCUAUAUUUACAUGAGACAAACAGGCUAUAAUAAAUGACAAGGACAUUACAUAAAGGGGUUAAUCCAACAAAAGGAUAUAAUAUUUGUAAGCAUUUAUAAACCCAACAUAGAAGCACUUAAAUAUAUAAAGCAAAUAUUAAGACUUAACAGAAAUAGAUAGCAAUACAGUAAUAGUAGGAUACUUCAGUGUCCCAUUUUCAUCAAUAAAUACAUCAUUCAGAGAAAAAUCAAUUAAAAAACCCCACCAUUGUCUUUAAAUGACAUGUUAAACCAGAUGAACUUAGACGUAUACAGACUAUUUCAUCUAAAAGAAACAAAAUAUACAUUGUUCUCAAGUGCACAGGAACAUUCUCCAAGACAGAUUUUAGGCCACAAAUCAAGUCUUAAUAAAUUUGAGAAGAAUGAAAUCAUAUCAAGGUUGUUUUUUUUUUGAGUACAUGGCAUGAAACUAAAAAUCAAUUACAUAACAAACCUGGAAAAUUUGCAAAUAUGUAGAUUAAACAACAUGCUACUGGACAAUCAAAGGAUCAAAGAAGAAAUCAAGAGAAAUAAAGGAUAAAAAAAGGAUACUUUAAAGCAAACAAAAAUGCAAAUAUAACACCAAAACUUAAUGGAAUACAGUUAUUAGAAGGAAGUUCAUAGUGAGAAGUGCCUAGAAAGGAACUAGAAAAAGAUGAAUAAAGAACACUCUUAAUUAGUAGAUGGAAGGAAAUGGAUUUAAAAGACAACAGAGAAGAUCAAGAGCUGGAUCUCUGAAAAGUAAACAAAAUUGACAAACCUUUAUCUAAACUCAUCAAGAAAAAGGAAGGACUCAAAAUGAGAUGUUAGAGAUGUUACAAGUGAUACCACAAAAAUACAAAGGAUCAUG
Molecule: long non-coding RNA, 2110 nt
Organism: Bos taurus (domestic cattle)
Lineage: Eukaryota; Metazoa; Chordata; Mammalia; Artiodactyla; Bovidae
Source: Ensembl